This 878-nucleotide long non-coding RNA is filed under the name Onthophagus taurus. RNAcentral describes it as "uncharacterized LOC111416590, transcript variant X2". Lineage: Eukaryota; Metazoa; Arthropoda; Insecta; Coleoptera; Scarabaeidae. The record is from RNAcentral.
UAGAAAUGAAAGACUAACGAUAAUAUUAAAUAAUAAAUCACUUUAUCGUAACGUUACUAGUAUUUACACCAUCGAGGUAUACUAUAUUUACUGGAGUGCGUGCUUUGGACUAAAAAACGAGCCGGUCGACUCGACGACUUCCCCCACCCUAUAACGGCAAGAAGCUUCAGUUCCGUAUGUAACAUAUAGGUGUUAACGUGUUGUUUAAGUGAAUAAAGAUUGCAUUAAAUACAUUUUUUUAUAAACUUUUUAAUAUUGUGUUUAAAUUAGUGUAUUAUAUAAAUCUAUAAAGAUGGUAAAUUCUUGUUCUGCAUACGGAUGUACAAAUAGACAGUCAACAGGAAGUGGUUUACAAUUUCAUCGGUAAGUUACAAUUUUUAGAUUCAGGUUUGUGGUAAUAUUAUAAUAUAUGUAUAAAUGUUCCAGAUUUCCAUUAAAUAAGCCUGGAGUUUAAAAAAAAUGGAUAAAGGAAGUACGCAGGAAAAAUUUUAAGCCAACAAAGUAUAGUUUUCUAUGUAGUGAUCAUUUUCUUGCUACGGAUUAUCAAAUACGACCAGGUGCCAGCAAGGGAUGGCUAAAAGAAGAUGCAUUUCCUUCAGUGUUUAAAGGAUUUCCAAAUCACCUCCAAAAACCUCCUCCAUCCAAAAGACGUUUAUUGUCUAGAGUAAUUGAGAAAGAGAAAAAGGCUGAUGAUAUUGAGAACAUGCCAAGUACAAGUACUACACCCGACUUAUCUGAGAUAUCUGAACAGAAUGCAAUGCAAUGUGAUGUGGGUAUUCAGUGUAUUAUUCAGUCACCAACUAAGAUAAAAUUGAGACGAAAAAUUAAGAUCUUGCAGCAACAAGUAAAACGUCGGGAUGUACGAAUCAAAAGUUUGA